UACGGAGGAUGCGAGCGUUAUCCGGAUUUAUUGGGUUUAAAGGGUGCGUAGGCGGAUUGAUAAGUCAGUGGUGAAAUUCUACAGCUUAACUGUAGACUUGCCGUUGAUACUGUUAGUCUUGAGUGUGGUCAAGGCAGGCGGAAUGUGUAAUGUAGCGGUGAAAUGCGCAGAUAUCAGGAGGAACACCAGUGGCGAAGGCGGCUUUCUGGGCCACGACUGACGCUGAGGCGCGAAAGCUAGGGGAGCGAACAGGAUUA
This 257-nucleotide ribosomal RNA is filed under the name uncultured prokaryote. RNAcentral's name for it is "partial 16S ribosomal RNA". It matches the Rfam family "Bacterial small subunit ribosomal RNA", at positions 524 to 780 of the family's 1533-position model. The record is from RNAcentral.